GCUGCUAUGAUUCCCAUUCCAUGGAAGGUCCCCUUACCAUCAAUAGUAAGGAUGUUGUGGUCAACCAGCAAAAAGAAGUGCCAUGUCCAGCACAACUAUGCCAUCCGCUAACAUAUCUGGGGCAACUGAAUCUGCAGCAUUCUUUUCAAAAUGCAAAACUUCCUUGUGUGAUGAAGCAAAUCCCAUUGCAUGAAGCGUAUCCACCAGGAAUUGUGACCGAUACAUUUAUUGUGCCUGCACUGCAAGGCCAAGUUGUAAUGGAGCUACCACAACACAUGGUCGUGCUGCCUGGCCAAUAGCCUGUCCAAUUCCUGCAACCUUUCGGCUUGUCUCCUUACCCACAAAAAGACCAUUCAAAAGUGUACAGAGUCUCGGGAACAAACGAAAGGGCAGAGUCAAGCUCAAGUGACUUUGUGCUCGGAUACUGAUCUGUAACGGACGGGACAUUGGUCAAUCGCGCACCUGUUUGAAUGAUCGCUUGUUUCUGGGAUUCCUCAUCCUUUUCUUGAUCGCUGAAAUAAGUUUGUAGUAUCUGUGAUGUCUUCUCUCUCAUUGUCACUAUGUCAUGGAGGCCUUCCCCUUCAGUGAAAUGUACAUUGUCCUGGUACUGUUUUCUCAAUUUUCUCUUGAGGUAUUGAUUUCCAUAUGGUUCAGAAUCUGGGUUUGUCAGAGAUUCCUUCAUUUUGUCUCAAAGAUGUAUAAUUGUCAACUGUUCCUCAUCAUUACUCUCGAGGUAAGAGCAAACGUUCACAAAACUUUCAUGCUCCUGAUCUUCAUUUUAGGGCCAGUCAGACUUUCUGCACUUUGCCUCUGGGUCUUUCUGGAACUGUAUCGUUAUGUAUAUCCAUUACGAAAACCACUACUGAAUAACUGGUGUUAAAUACAGUCUGCAGCAUGUAGAUCACGGCCAUAAUACUCGAUCCUGCCUUUGACAGUGAAAGCCCAUUGAUCUGCAUGAUUGUCACAACACUCUGUUGAAGAAUGGACUCUGGCACUUCUUUUUGGUGGCUCAGCUUUAUAUUCUUGCUGGAUUUUAAUGUCUUUUUAUUUAUGUACUUCUGUCGACAUUUUGAGUGUACUAUUUCACUAGCGGAAAUGUGUACGUCGUCACCUCUUUGUACACUUGCAUUGUUAAUCAGCUCUCUUCUGAUGAACCUCAACCACAUCAGAGCCAUCUCUUAAGUUUUUACAGCAAAUGGGGCAAAAUUCUUGGUUUACAACAACAUGACUCAAAAUGUCAAAAUUGCAUUUGUUGUGUACUUUUUCCUCAAGCUUAUUCAACAAUGUCAUCCUCUCUUAACACACUCACAUUGUUGGCCUUUUUCAUGUGUUAGAUAUCUGGGUGGUGGUGCGGUGGAUGAGCGUCAAGGAUGAAUUUUGUUUGAGCAAAACGGUAUACUGUGCUGCCAACAACAUUUCAAUGAGGCAAGCAAUAUCAAAUCUGUCCAGAGCAGCACCUUCUCCUCAGACUCCCAGUGUGUGGUAUGAAUCACGGACUCACUGUACUUGUUUUGCUCCGGUCAGCAUGAGCUGCAUCACCUCUUUCUGUGGGUUCAGGCCACGGGCUCCUGGGAUCGGACCGUGAGAGUCUGGAAACUUCUUGAGGAAAAAGAGCCUGUGACGUUACAGGGGCUCCAAGGGAACAUGACCUGUGUCUGUUUCUCUUUUAGUGGGAUGCUGGCCUCAUGAUCAUGGGACGGCACAGUGCGUGUUUGGUUGUAGGUUGGUCA
Cyprinus carpio (common carp) is the source of this 1730-nucleotide long non-coding RNA. RefSeq lists it as uncharacterized. The record is from RefSeq and is a predicted model, not a curated record. The transcript is spliced from 3 exons. NCBI's taxonomy places the organism in Eukaryota, Metazoa, Chordata, Actinopteri, Cypriniformes, Cyprinidae.